Molecule: ribosomal RNA, 400 nt
Filed under: uncultured bacterium
Lineage: Bacteria
Description: bacterial SSU rRNA
Rfam family: Bacterial small subunit ribosomal RNA
Source: RNAcentral
UAAGGAAUAUUGGUCAAUGGACGCAAGUCUGAACCAGCCAUGCCGCGUGCAGGAAGACGGCCCUACGGGUUGUAAACUGCUUUUGUACCGGAAUAAACCUUUUCACGUGUGAGAAGCUGAAUGUACGGUAAGAAUAAGGAUCGGCUAACUCCGUGCCAGCAGCCGCGGUAAUACGGAGGAUCCAAGCGUUAUCCGGAUUUAUUGGGUUUAAAGGGUGCGUAGGUGGCCUGGUAAGUCAGGGGUGAAAGACGGCAGCUUAACUGUCGCAGUGCCUUUGAUACUGCCGGGCUUGAAUACAGUUGAAGUGGGCGGAAUGUGACAAGUAGCGGUGAAAUGCAUAGAUAUGUCACAGAACACCGAUCGCGAAGGCAGCUCACUAAAGUGUGAUUGACACUGAGGC